This is a long non-coding RNA of Panicum virgatum (switchgrass), 933 nucleotides long. RefSeq lists it as uncharacterized. The transcript is spliced from 3 exons. The record is from RefSeq and is a predicted model, not a curated record. NCBI's taxonomy places the organism in Eukaryota, Viridiplantae, Streptophyta, Magnoliopsida, Poales, Poaceae.
GGUACCCGCACAGCCCACUAGUCGUCGCCCUCCCAGCUCCCUAUCGCCUGCGCUGCACAGCCGCCGCCAUGGCGAACCCUAGCGCUGCCUCCUCGGCGUUCCCGUCGCCGUAUAUUGCGGCGAUUACUCCGCUCAUGCUGCCUCCAUUGCCGCCGUCUCCUACAUCCGGAGAGAAUGCUUCAUCGCCCGCAACGGCACCUGUGCGCUGCCCAUGGUGCCCUGCGCUGGUCCUUCUCCACCUUUGAGGCAAUGAGUGAAGGGGAGAGAAGGAAGCAAUUACAGGUUAGGUUUCUUGCUGGCCGCUGCUGCCCCCGCCCGCAGCCUGCUUUCUCUCGCCGCUCCUCGCAGCCGGCCGCCGGCCGCCGCGGCCUCGGGCUCCCAUAGCUGGCCGUCGUGCGCCGCUGCUUGGGCUCUCGUAGGCUCGUAGCAGGCCGCCUGAGCUCCGCAGAGGUUGGCUGAGGAGCUGCGGCGUGGCUUCGGGGCAAGGCCGCAGAGGCCGAGUGCCAGGCAUAUAAUCAUCUAUGCAUCCAUCCACCGCCGUGGUCGUUUGCUGAUCCUCGUCCACCGUUGUCUUCAGAAAAUUGGGAGGCAAUCAGGGAAGGAAAGAGCACAGGGACCAAAGGUCUACAGAAAUCUUUUGGACCCGAGAGCUAGGAAGGAAGGAUCAAUGGCACAAGAUUGUCUAGCUAUGAAAUCUUUUGCUUUGUUCAAACCCAGUGAUGCUCUACUAGUGCAUGGUGUUCCAAGCAAAUAGUGUAGUAAUUGGUGGAUCACAUACAGCAGGACUGCAUGACAGAUGAUGUUGCCUCAUAAUUACUGCAAUAUAUUAUCGUGUUCUUUGUAUUUUUCCAGCUUUUAUUUGAUUUUUGGAGAUAUUUUAAAGCCUGUGAACUGGUCCAGUAUGUACUAUGAGUCAUUAGCUGUUCGUUCUUA